Molecule: long non-coding RNA, 1963 nt
Filed under: Lactuca sativa (garden lettuce)
Lineage: Eukaryota; Viridiplantae; Streptophyta; Magnoliopsida; Asterales; Asteraceae
Description: long non-coding RNA (LSAT_LNC001939)
Source: RNAcentral
UGGAAAAUUAUUGAUUUUUUAAAAAUUUUAAUAUUUGUUAUUAUAAAAAAAAACAAUCAAAUAUAUCAAGACUGAUAAUUAUAUAUGUUGGUGAUUUUAUAUCAUUAAUAUUAUUUAAGUGUAAUGAAGUUAAUUUGUUAAUGAAUGUCGAUUUUACAAUUAUUGAACAAAUUAGUAUGAUGCGGAGUGCAAAUUUGUUUAAUUUUAGACAAAAUUGCAAAAAUAGUCCCUGUGGUUGGCAAAUUUAUGUUUUUUUGGUCCAAAAUGAAAUGUUGGUGCACCAUUGGUCCAAAAUUGGAUCUUUCUAUUAUUUUUGGUCCCUAUCAACAUAAAAGGACUAUUAUACCCUUAUAUUUGUUUUUUUAUAUUUAUUCAAAUGUUUUUUAUUAGUUAAAAUUGAGAAAGAUGCCCCCCCCCUCUCUCUCUCUCUCUCUCUCUCUCUCUCUCUCUCUCUCUCUCUCUCUACACAUGUGUAACCCACAGAAAGAAAAGCGUCGACUUCCUUAUCCAUCCAAAGCUUUAUCAUCUUCCUCACUCCCUUGACGGUUACUACCAUUGCCAUCCCUUGUUACCUGCAAAUCAAAAAUCAAGGUAGAAGCCCAUGAAGUUGGGGUCAAAGUUGUUCUCCAUUUUUUAAGAACACUAGAAGUCAAGGUUCAGAUUACGCAAUUUUCCCUUUUUUCUAUCCUGUUUGUAUGUCUCAUUCAUUCUUCAUCUUGAUUAACGAUUAAUUAUUCAAGUUCCGGAUUUGAUGUGAUCUCUUUUUGGAUCGUAAUCGGUACUAUCACCACCAUACACCACCAACCUUGAACUCCAUUACAGCCAUCCCGUUGUCACCCCUUCUAAUCAGCUAUCCUCACCUUCUUCUCCCCUGUUCAUCAAUGUGAUCAUCACCUCUAACGUCACCCACAUCACACACCACCAGACCACCAUAACCCACCAUACCCGCAAGCCAACACACAUCUGCCAUCAAAAAAGAUAAAAAAAAAAAGUAAAAUAAGAUUAAUUCAGAAGAGAGAAAGAAGAAGGGGUUGUGAUCGAGUUUAAUAAAAAAAGAAAAAAAAAUGAAAUACACGCCUUAACCUCUUCUUGAUUUACCACAAAAAUCCGAUUAGCACCACCAGACUCACCAUCCCAACCUCAUGCGAUCUGAAUCGAAGAAGGUGUGGUGAGAAUCGAAUCAGAACAGAAAAUAAGGAAGGGAGGGUCGUGGUUUUUGUCGAUUGAAGCUAGAACAAGAAGGAGAGUACAUGCGAUUGUGAGAGAAGGAGGGGGUGCAUCGAUUUCAGAUCUGAGCUACCUGUGAUCUGAAAAAUUUGUUGAUGAGCACAGAUGGUUUUUUGGGGUGAACGUUUGAUCUGAAAAGUUGAGUUCUUUGUUAAUGUGUGUGUGUAUGUGUGAGAGAGAGGGAUAAGUGGGGUGAUAUAUAUUUUCUGGUUUUUAAUUAACAGAAUUACAAUUCAAUUAAAAGAAAUAGAAAAAAACAAUUUUAAGGGCAUAUUAGUCAUUUUAGGUGGGGUAUAAACCAAAACCACAUAAAAAUGCUAACCAUAAGGACCAAACUCACACAAAGUAUCCGAAAUUGGACCACCGAUGCACCACCAAACGUUUUUGGACCAAAACCAUAUAAUUUUGACAAGCACAUGGGCCAUUUUUACAAUUUUGUCUUAAUUUUAUUAAAUUUUGUUUUUAUUGAAAUUAUACUGCUAUUUAGGGGUGAGACCCCUAAACUGACAUGAGUCCGGAGGCAACGCCCCUGGGAGCGAGGUGCAAGGGAUAGCCCCUAGCUCACUGGCUGGGGUCUGUUAUGUUGUUAUAUAAAAUGUCUCAGAAAUCCAUAUUUUCUAUAAAUACACCCGGUUUUGUUAUCCAUAUUUCAGACCCGGUUUUAGGUUAGGUUAUGACCGUUGUGGACAAUUUUGGGACAUAAAACUGUUAUUUGACAGUUUUAAGACAUAAGUUU